Molecule: long non-coding RNA, 1828 nt
Organism: Struthio camelus australis
Lineage: Eukaryota; Metazoa; Chordata; Aves; Struthioniformes; Struthionidae
Source: Ensembl
AAAGCAAUUUUUUUAAUUUUCACAAUUGCGCAUUCAUUCAUAAUUGUGUAGAUGAUUAUCCAGCCAAAUACAAAUUGUCCACUACUAUUUUUUAUAAGAAUGAUGUUUUUUGGUGCAGUCCACCAAAACAACCUUUUGCACUUUAUGUGGUAAAGGUGAAGUCAUAAAGAGGUAGGCCUAACACAGCCAGGAUAUAGCAAUGCCUAUAUUAAAGUCAGUGAAGUAAAACUCUAGUGUGCAUCCUUUGAUGCUUUGCCUCAGUGAGGUAACAGAAAUGUAUGUUUUAUUCGCGCUUUUACAGUACUGGAACUCUUGGCUAUACUGAAAUGCAGUUUUUCAUCUUGAUUGUUUUUGGCAUGUGUUGGAUGCAUAAUAUCCAUGCUUUUUCAUAUAUCCCAGAGAGACCUCCCUCUAACUUUUUGCCUACUCACAGCAAACCUUGCCUUGUUUGGGUGCUGGGGAACUCUUGUGAAUUAGUCCUCAUCAGUGAGGUCAGAAGUGCGAUUUGAGCUGUCUGUAUUUUCAUUAAAAGAGACACUCAGGAUUCUCAGUAGACAGACUUAGUUUGGGGUUUUAGUUCAUCUGUGCAGAGUCUAAAAUACUGGAAAUUUCCUGACUUUUUUUUCAAUGAACUGCAUUGUUUCAUGUGGGACCCGUGGCAAUUUUAAGGACUGCUGAGGAACUAAGCUGAUAAUGACAUCUAGAACUUUUUAAUCAUCCCUUUCCAAGGGCUUCAAAAAGAAUGUAAGUGACACCCGUUACCCAGCACGGUCACAGCACAGGAACCGAGAUGAGAACUCCAAACAAACAGCAGGGAAGGAGGAGAUGUGCCUACAUCUGUUUUAAAGGAGAGCAAUGUAAACAUUACACUGAAACCUUCCUGUUGAAUUUUUGGAACAGCAGCAAAGUGCAAGCUUAUAUGAGAAUAAGCAUGAAAAAGAGAACUUUCAGGCAGAUGACAAAGGAGGCACCGGGGGUCACAACCCUGCCGAAUGCUAUUCUCAGCGUACAGGAAGGGCUUUCUGAAAAUAAGAUGAAGACAAGGAGAAAAUCGUUCAAUGCCAUUAAUACUCUUCACUGCAAGAGAUCUAUGCUGUUUCGUCGCGAUCGUCUCCCAGUGAACGGAGAGUAAAAGAAAGGCAUUACUGUGUCGAGCGACGAGUUUCCUUUAGGCGACGUACGGAGGGGAAGGCUAAAGAAACCAUCGCAGCACACUUUGACCCAGACUAGGUGUAGGCUCAGCUAUUGCACCAUGAAUGGUUUAUCGUGGCCUGAUAGAACGUCCUAUUAUGUCAAUAGCGAAAAUCCUGAAGUAACAAACUAAGUUUACUGUAGGACCAGGCGCUGUAUACGAAAAAAAGUUUUACAUCCAAAAUGUCACAUGAUGAUUUACUACAGAAGAUUUUCCUUAAAGUUUCCUAGCAAUAAGCCCCGGUCCUACUCGGAACCACAAAAACUGUGGCUUGGCUAUACAUGCCGCUUCCCAGUGCCAGAGAUGGCCACUCCUAUGUCAUUUUAGCUAAUUAAAAACACAAGGAAAGUGAUUGAAUGGGUGAUUUUAUAACGCUCUGACUGUCCACACCACAGAUGCUAUCAGAAGUUUUAAUUCCAUAGCAAUUGGUUGCAAAUAUCUAGUGACUGAUGAUGCAAAUGUGCUAUGGUUUACUCUUGCCGUGGGCUUCGUUUAGGUACCUAACGCCAGUCUGUGGUACCAUACAGAGAGUCUUUGCAAAGCAGCUUUUGUAACCGGUCUCAGUUUUAAUGAAAACCAGAGUUCUUUCAGGAACUGAACAAUAAAAUUGUUAGGGGGUUGUUUAUCUAGCUAAAC